UAAAAAAAGGUAAGCUACUAAGAGCGAAUGGUGGAUGCCUUGACUGGUAAAGGCGAUGAAGGACGUACUAGACUGCGAUAAGCUACGGGGAGCUGUCAAGAAGCUUUGAUCCGUAGAUUUCCGAAUGGGGCAACCCAAUGUAUAGAGAUAUACAUUACCUAUAUAGGAGCGAACGAGGGGAAUUGAAACAUCUUAGUACCCUCAGGAAAAGAAAUCAAUAGAGAUUGCGUCAGUAGCGGCGAGCGAAAGCGCAAGAGGGCAAACCCAGUGCUUGCACUGGGGGUUGUAGGACUGCAAUGUGCAAGAGCUGAGUUUAGCAGAACAUUCUGGAAAGUAUAGCCAUAGAGGGUGAUAGUCCCGUAUGCGAAAAACAAAGCUUAGCUAGCAGUAUCCUGAGUAGGGCGGGACACGAGGAAUCCUGUCUGAAUCCGGGUCGACCACGAUCCAACCCUAAAUACUAAUACCAGAUCGAUAGUGCACAAGUACCGUGAGGGAAAGGUGAAAAGAACUGAGGUGAUCAGAGUGAAAUAGAACCUGAAACCAUUUGCUUACAAUCAUUCAGAGCACUAUGUAGCAAUACAGUGUGAUGGACUGCCUUUUGCAUAAUGAGCCUGCGAGUUGUGGUGUCUGGCAAGGUUAAGCAAACGCGAAGCCGUAGCGAAAGCGAGUCUGAAUAGGGCGCUUAGUCAGAUGCUGCAGACCCGAAACGAAGUGAUCUAUCCAUGAGCAAGUUGAAGCUAGUGUAAGAACUAGUGGAGGACUGAACCCAUAGGCGUUGAAAAGCCCCGGGAUGACUUGUGGAUAGGGGUGAAAGGCCAAUCAAACUUCGUGAUAGCUGGUUCUCUCCGAAAUAUAUUUAGGUAUAGCGUUGUGUCGUAAUAUAAGGGGGUAGAGCACUGAAUGGGCUAGGGCAUACACCAAUGUACCAAACCCUAUCAAACUCCGAAUACCUUAUAUGUAAUCACAGCAGUCAGGCGGCGAGUGAUAAAAUCCGUCGUCAAGAGGGAAACAACCCAGACUACCAGCUAAGGUCCCUAAAUCUUACUUAAGUGGAAAACGAUGUGAAGUUACUUAAACAACCAGGAGGUUGGCUUAGAAGCAGCCAUCCUUUAAAGAAAGCGUAAUAGCUCACUGGUCUAGUGAUUUUGCGCGGAAAAUAUAACGGGGCUAAAGUAAGUACCGAAGCUGUAGACUUAGUUUGCUAAGUGGUAGGAGAGCGUUCUAUUUGCGUCGAAGGUAUACCGGUAAGGAGUGCUGGAGCGAAUAGAAGUGAGCAUGCAGGCAUGAGUAGCGAUAAUUAAUGUGAGAAUCAUUAACGCCGUAAACCCAAGGUUUCCUACGCGAUGCUCGUCAUCGUAGGGUUAGUCGGGUCCUAAGUCGAGUCCGAAAGGGGUAGACGAUGGCAAAUUGGUUAAUAUUCCAAUACCAACAUUAGUGUGCGAUGGAAGGACGCUUAGGGCUAAGGGGGCUAGCGGAUGGAAGUGCUAGUCUAAGGUCGUAGGAGGUUAUACAGGAAAAUCCGUAUAACAAUACUCCGAGAACUGAAAGGCUUUUUGAAGUCUUCGGAUGGAUAGAAGAACCCCUGAUGCCGUCGAGCCAAGAAAAGUUUCUAAGUUUAGCUAAUGUUGCCCGUACCGUAAACCGACACAGGUGGGUGGGAUGAGUAUUCUAAGGCGCGUGGAAGAACUCUCUUUAAGGAACUCUGCAAAAUAGCACCGUAUCUUCGGUAUAAGGUGUGGUUAGCUUCGUACUAGGAUUUACUCCGAAAGCGAAGAAACUUACAACAAAGAGUCCCUCCCGACUGUUUACCAAAAACACAGCACUCUGCUAACUCGUAAGAGGAUGUAUAGGGUGUGACGCCUGCCCGGUGCUCGAAGGUUAAUUGAUGGGGUUAGCAUUAGCGAAGCUCUUGAUCGAAGCCCGAGUAAACGGCGGCCGUAACUAUAACGGUCCUAAGGUAGCGAAAUUCCUUGUCGGUUAAAUACCGACCUGCAUGAAUGGCGUAACGAGAUGGGAGCUGUCUCAAAGAGGGAUCCAGUGAAAUUGUAGUGGAGGUGAAAAUUCCUCCUACCCGCGGCAAGACGGAAAGACCCCGUGGACCUUUACUACAGCUUGACACUGCUACUUGGAUAAGAAUGUGCAGGAUAGGUGGGAGGCUUUGAGUAUAUGACGCCAGUUGUAUAGGAGCCAUUGUUGAGAUACCACUCUUUCUUAUUUGGGUAGCUAACCAGCUUGAGUUAUCCUCAAGUGGGACAAUGUCUGGUGGGUAGUUUGACUGGGGCGGUCGCCUCCCAAAUAAUAACGGAGGCUUACAAAGGUUGGCUCAGAACGGUUGGAAAUCGUUCGUAGAGUAUAAAGGUAUAAGCCAGCUUAACUGCAAGACAUACAAGUCAAGCAGAGACGAAAGUCGGUCUUAGUGAUCCGGUGGUUCUGUGUGGAAGGGCCAUCGCUCAAAGGAUAAAAGGUACCCCGGGGAUAACAGGCUGAUCUCCCCCAAGAGCUCACAUCGACGGGGAGGUUUGGCACCUCGAUGUCGGCUCAUCGCAUCCUGGGGCUGGAGCAGGUCCCAAGGGUAUGGCUGUUCGCCAUUUAAAGCGGUACGCGAGCUGGGUUCAGAACGUCGUGAGACAGUUCGGUCCCUAUCUGCCGUGGGCGUAAGAAGAUUGAAGAGAUUUGACCCUAGUACGAGAGGACCGGGUUGAACAAACCACUGGUGUAGCUGUUGUUCUGCCAAGAGCAUCGCAGCGUAGCUAAGUUUGGAAAGGAUAAACGCUGAAAGCAUCUAAGCGUGAAGCCAACUCUAAGAUGAAUCUUCUCUAAGCUCUCUAGAAGACUACUAGUUUGAUAGGCUGGGUGUGUAAUGGAUGAAAGUCCUUUAGCUGACCAGUACUAAUAGAGCGUUUGGCUUAUCUUUAAUAAAGCAU
Molecule: ribosomal RNA, 2924 nt
Filed under: Campylobacter jejuni
Lineage: Bacteria; Pseudomonadati; Campylobacterota; Epsilonproteobacteria; Campylobacterales; Campylobacteraceae
Description: 23S ribosomal RNA
Rfam family: Bacterial large subunit ribosomal RNA
Source: RNAcentral